Molecule: long non-coding RNA, 922 nt
Organism: Protopterus annectens (West African lungfish)
Lineage: Eukaryota; Metazoa; Chordata; Ceratodontiformes; Protopteridae
Exons: 2
Source: RefSeq, a predicted model, not a curated record
UAUAAGAUCUGUGUGCUUUCUUUCCGUUCUUGCAGCACUCACUCUGCCUAGCAGGGUGGGUGCUGCUGGCCUCUUUUUCACUUUUUCAGGUGGAGAAGUUGACAUCCCACUCCCACGGGUGGAACAGUACUCGAGACCUCUAGAGGUCAAACACAAUGGAUCUCAGCAAGAGAAAACACAGCUCUGUGCAAUCCUACAUUUUCAAUUGUGUUGAAUAGCUUGGAUCAUGCAGAUCAAUGGCACAGUGUUUUAUUUUGAUGGGCUUCAUUGGAGUACUGGUGCACAGCACCUGAAGAUGGUGGAUGCUGUGGAGAAAGGAAAGGAAGAUAAAAAACAAGUUACUGAAAUAACGCGCUAUGAUUAAAACGAAGAAAAAUAAAUGACAGUGAAGCAACACAACAAUAUUCUCAUGCUGUGCCAGAAAGAAAUGAAAAGUAGAAAUAAGUGACUGAAGCAACACGCUGUUAUAAAAAAGCAGACAACAAAGCAACAUAAAAAUCAUUUUCUGUUUUAUCGAGGUGUAAUGUAAAAUCUUUUUGUUAAUGUUUUAAGUGCAAGGUUUUGGAUGUAUAUUUGUACCUAUCAUGUAUAUGGCUCUUGACUCACUAAAUAAUUAAUGCUGAAAAAUACUUAUAUGUAUAUGGGAUCCGGAACUAUGUAUACACCUGCUGCCUUCAAAGCACUUAAAAACACAUAUCAAGUAAUGUCAACUACUGUAAAUUUAUCCCUUAUGUAUUUUGACCCUCCUGUGGCCUUAGUCCUGUGCUAAGGCCACAGGGGAAUUAUGCUUUGGGCUGUCUGUGUCACUUGGUUUGGUUGGUAAGAAGGAAGCCAGCCAGUAAAACUGGAACAGAAACAAAUCUGAAUUCUUUCAUAAGGCAAAACGAUAUUGUUAAAAAUGGAAUAAAACAGUAACAUUUAA